Delphinapterus leucas (beluga whale) is the source of this 220-nucleotide non-coding RNA. NCBI's taxonomy places the organism in Eukaryota, Metazoa, Chordata, Mammalia, Artiodactyla, Monodontidae. The record is from RefSeq and is a predicted model, not a curated record.
GGGAGGUCUGAGGUCUUCUGCCAGCGUUCAUUUCUACUGCACCCCAGGUAAUCCACAGGACCCAAGAGAUGGUAGCUACUAAUAUACUCUUCCCAUGGUGCCUCUUAAUACCAUGUGGACUCCUACAAGGGAAAUAAGUAUCACAACUUUGGUUGAACGUGGUCUGGUCUCAGAUUUACCUGACGGCCACCACUCACAGCUCCCGAAGAGCCCAGAGAUU